UGAGGAAUCUUCCACAAUGGGCGAAAGCCUGAUGGAGCAACGCCGCGUGAAGGAUGAAGGUCUUCGGAUUGUAAACUUCUUUUAUGAGUGAAGAAUAUGACGGUAACUCAUGAAUAAGCACCGGCUAACUACGUGCCAGCAGCCGCGGUCAUACGUAGGGUGCAAGCAUUAUCCGGAGUGACUGGGCGUAAAGAGUUGCGUAGGCGGUUAUGUAAGCGAAUAGUGAAACCUGGUGGCUCAACCACACAGACUAUUAUUCGAACUGCAUAACUCGAGAAUGGUAGAGGUAACUGGAAUUUCUUGUGUAGGAGUGAAAUCCGUAGAUAUAAGAAGGAACACCAAUGGCGUAGGCAGGUUACUGGGCCAUUUCUGACGCUAAGGCACGAAAGCGUGGGGAGCGAACC
This 404-nucleotide ribosomal RNA is filed under the name uncultured prokaryote. RNAcentral describes it as "bacterial SSU rRNA". It matches the Rfam family "Bacterial small subunit ribosomal RNA", at positions 355 to 774 of the family's 1533-position model. The record is from RNAcentral.